AAGACCUUGCGCUUUUGGAGCGGCCGAUGCCUGAUUAGCUUGUUGGUAAGGUAAAAGCUUACCAAGGCUUCGAUCAGUAGCUGGUCUGAGAGGACGGCCAGCCACACUGGGACUGAGACACGGCCCAGACUCCUACGGGAGGCAGCAGUGGGGAAUUUUGGACAAUGGGGGCAACCCUGAUCCAGCCAUGCCGCGUGAGUGAAGAAGGCCUUCGGGUUGUAAAGCUCUUUCAGCCGGAACGAAACGGUUACGGUUAAUACCCGUGAUUACUGACGGUACCGGAAGAAGAAGCACCGGCUAACUACGUGCCAGCAGCCCCGGUAAUACGUAGGGUGCGAGCGUUAAUCGGAAUUACUGGGCGUAAAGCGUGCGCAGGUGGUUUUGUAAGUCAGAUGUGAAAGCCCCGGGCUCAACCUGGGAACU
This 423-nucleotide ribosomal RNA is filed under the name uncultured bacterium. RNAcentral's name for it is "bacterial SSU rRNA". It matches the Rfam family "Bacterial small subunit ribosomal RNA", at positions 207 to 622 of the family's 1533-position model. The record is from RNAcentral.